Otolemur garnettii (small-eared galago) is the source of this 491-nucleotide non-coding RNA. The record is from the annotation of a RefSeq genome assembly. NCBI's taxonomy places the organism in Eukaryota, Metazoa, Chordata, Mammalia, Primates, Galagidae.
UAGAGGAAGAAACAGACAUGUUGCUCUGCAGCCUGCUGAAGGUGGUCACAGCUUCAAUGUGGCUAGGAUCUGGUAUUGCCCAGAAGGUAACUCAAGUCCAGCCAGCAAUGUUGGUGCAGGAGAAGGAGGCUGUGACUCUGGAAUGCACAUAUGACACCAGUGAUCCUAGUUAUAACCUAUUCUGGUACAAGCAGCCCAGCAGUGGAGAGAUGAUUUUCAUUAUUCGCCAGGACUCCUAUAGUCAGAAAAACGAAACAGAGGGUCGCUACUCACUGAAUUUCCAGAAGGCCAGCAAAGUCAUCAACCUUGUCAUCUCAGCUUCACAACUGGGGGACUCAGCAACGUAUUUCUGUGCACUGAGUGGCCCACAGUGGGAGGCUAGCUGGAGGGAGGUGUACAAAAACUGCAGGCACCUCCUCAUGACACGCACUGCAGCAGGGAAUCACCAUGACAGACAGGAAGUGGUUAGGCCUGUGGCAGCACAGGUGUAG